Molecule: ribosomal RNA, 742 nt
Filed under: uncultured bacterium
Lineage: Bacteria
Description: bacterial SSU rRNA
Rfam family: Bacterial small subunit ribosomal RNA
Source: RNAcentral
AGCGGCGGACGGGUGAGCAACACGUGGGUAACCUGCCCAAGAGACUGGGAUAACACCUGGAAACAGAUGCUAAUACCGGAUAACAACACUAGACGCAUGUCUAGAGUUUGAAAGAUGGUUCUGCUAUCACUCUUGGAUGGACCCGCGGUGCAUUAGCUAGUUGGUAAGGUAACGGCUUACCAAGGCAAUGAUGCAUAGCCGAGUUGAGAGACUGAUCGGCCACAUUGGGACUGAGACACGGCCCAAACUCCUACGGGAGGCAGCAGUAGGGAAUCUUCCACAAUGGACGAAAGUCUGAUGGAGCAACGCCGCGUGAGUGAAGAAGGGUUUCGGCUCGUAAAGCUCUGUUGGUAGUGAAGAAAGAUAGAGGUAGUAACUGGCCUUUAUUUGACGGUAAUUACUUAGAAAGUCACGGCUAACUACGUGCCAGCAGCCGCGGUAAUACGUAGGUGGCAAGCGUUGUCCGGAUUUAUUGGGCGUAAAGCGAGUGCAGGCGGUUCAAUAAGUCUGAUGUGAAAGCCUUCGGCUCAACCGGAGAAUUGCAUCAGAAACUGUUGAACUUGAGUGCAGAAGAGGAGAGUGGAACUCCAUGUGUAGCGGUGGAAUGCGUAGAUAUAUGGAAGAACACCAGUGGCGAAGGCGGCUCUCUGGUCUGCAACUGACGCUGAGGCUCGAAAGCAUGGGUAGCGAACAGGAUUAGAUACCCUGGUAGUCCAUGCCGUAAACGAUGAGUGCUAAGUGU